UUUCUCUGGGUUCUUUUCAGAUCGUAUAAAUCUUUCACCUUUUACUAAAGAUUUACAUGGAGAGGAACAACAGUUGGGGGGUUGGAACUAGAUGAUCUUUAAGGUUUCUUCUAAUCCCA
This is a small nuclear RNA of Chroicocephalus ridibundus (black-headed gull), 119 nucleotides long. RefSeq annotates it as U5 spliceosomal RNA. The record is from RefSeq and is a predicted model, not a curated record. The transcript has a single exon. Lineage: Eukaryota; Metazoa; Chordata; Aves; Charadriiformes; Laridae.